AUUGAACGCUGCGGCACGCCUUACACAUGCAAGUCGAACGGCAGCACGGGAGCAAUCCUGGUGGCGAGUGGCGAACGGGUGAGUAAAGUAUCGGAACGUGCCCAGUCGGGGGGGAUACAGUAGCGAAAGUUACGCUAAUACCGCCUACGAUCUAAGGAUGAAAGCGGGGGAUCGCAAGAGCCCGCGCGAUUGGAGCGGGCGAUGUCGGCAUAGGUAGUUGGUGGGGGAAAGGCCCACCACGCCGACGAUCUGUAGCUGGUCUGAGAGGACGACCAGCAACACUGGGACUGAGACACGGCCCAGACUCCUACGGGAGGAAGCAGUGGGGAAUUUUGGACAAUGGGCGCAAGCCUGAUCCAGCCAUGCCGCGUGAAGGAUGAAGGCCUUCGGGUUGUAAACUGCUUUUGUACGGAGCGAAAAGGCUCUCUCUAAUACAGGGGGCUCAUGACGGUACCGUAAGAAUAAGCACCGGCUAACUACGUGCCAGCAGCCGCCGUAA
RNAcentral lists this ribosomal RNA (499 nucleotides) under uncultured bacterium. Its description in RNAcentral is "partial 16S ribosomal RNA". It matches the Rfam family "Bacterial small subunit ribosomal RNA", at positions 29 to 523 of the family's 1533-position model. The record is from RNAcentral.